This 492-nucleotide ribosomal RNA is filed under the name uncultured bacterium. Its description in RNAcentral is "partial 16S ribosomal RNA". It matches the Rfam family "Bacterial small subunit ribosomal RNA", at positions 29 to 507 of the family's 1533-position model. The record is from RNAcentral.
AGUGAACGCUGGCGGUAGGCCUAACACAUGCAAGUCGAACGGCAGCACCGUAAGAGCUUGCUCUUACGGGUGGCGAGUGGCGGACGGGUGAGGAAUACAUCGGAAUCUACUUUUUCGUGGGGGAUAACGUAGGGAAACUUACGCUAAUACCGCAUACGACCUACGGGUGAAAGCAGGGGAUCUUCGGACCUUGCGCGAUUGAAUGAGCCGAUGUCGGAUUAGCUAGUUGGCGGGGUAAAGGCCCACCAAGGCGACGAUCCGUAGCUGGUCUGAGAGGAUGAUCAGCCACACUGGAACUGAGACACGGUCCAGACUCCUACGGGAGGCAGCAGUGGGGAAUAUUGGACAAAGGGCGCAAGCCUGAUCCAGCCAUACCGCGUGGGUGAAGAAGGCCUUCGGGUUGUAAAGCCCUUUUGUUGGGAAAGAAAAGCAGCAGGUUAAUACCCUGCUGUUCUGACGGUACCCAAAGAAUAAGCACCGGCUAACUUCGUG